UAGGGAAUCUUCCACAAUGGACGCAAGUCUGAUGGAGCAACGCCGCGUGAGUGAAGAAGGUUUUCGGAUCGUAAAGCUCUGUUGUAAGAGAAGAACGUGUGUGAGAGUGGAAAGUUCACACAGUGACGGUAAUUUACCAGAAAGGGACGGCUAACUACGUGCCAG
This 165-nucleotide ribosomal RNA is filed under the name uncultured bacterium. RNAcentral's name for it is "partial 16S rRNA". It matches the Rfam family "Bacterial small subunit ribosomal RNA", at positions 355 to 511 of the family's 1533-position model. The record is from RNAcentral.